GCGUCGUUAUCCCGUAGAUGGAAGCGGUGGUGACUGUAAAUCACUUGUCAUUAUGACUCGGGAGGUUCGACUCCUUCACGGCGCACCA
Molecule: transfer RNA, 88 nt
Filed under: Escherichia coli
Lineage: Bacteria; Pseudomonadati; Pseudomonadota; Gammaproteobacteria; Enterobacterales; Enterobacteriaceae
Also listed under: 3 other names
Description: tRNA-Tyr
Source: RNAcentral